UAUGUAGGGUGCGAGCGUUAAUCGGAAUUACUGGGCGUAAAGCGUGCGCAGGCGGUUUUGUAAGCCAGAUGUGAAAUCCCCGGGCUUAACCUGGGAAUGGCAUUUGGGACUGCAAGGCUUGAGUGCGGCAGAGGAGACUGGAAUUCCUGGUGUAGCAGUGAAAUGCGUAGAUAUCAGGAGGAAUACCGAUGGCGAAGGCAGGUCUCUGGGCUGACACUGACGCUCAUGCACGAAAGCGUGGGGAGCAAACAGG
RNAcentral lists this ribosomal RNA (253 nucleotides) under uncultured bacterium. RNAcentral describes it as "partial 16S ribosomal RNA". It matches the Rfam family "Bacterial small subunit ribosomal RNA", at positions 524 to 776 of the family's 1533-position model. The record is from RNAcentral.